This is a long non-coding RNA of Anguilla rostrata (American eel), 1473 nucleotides long. RefSeq lists it as uncharacterized. The record is from RefSeq and is a predicted model, not a curated record. The transcript has 3 exons. NCBI's taxonomy places the organism in Eukaryota, Metazoa, Chordata, Actinopteri, Anguilliformes, Anguillidae.
GAAGACACCUCAGUUGUGGGGGGCUUUUUGAGAGAUUCCUUUUUGAGUCAGACUCCUUUUUAAGACUACCUUUGCUUUUGUGUGCCAAUUUUCUGCUACCACAUGUUGUUGUCUGUUUAAGUUUUGUUUUUGGUACUUUCCUGUUGUAGGUUGCAGGUGGUCAGGCAGUUUCCUUGUUUUAACGCGUUUUUAGAUGGUUAGUCCAGAGCAGGAAGAAGUUUGCUGGAAGACUCACUCGUUUUGCUUUGCCUGGGUAGUGAGGUUUAGAACGGUGAAAAUUGGGAAAUACUGGGCCUGACCCCCAGAAAAACCAGGAAGUGAGGUAAAAACACUCAUCAGUGGAAAGUAAAAAUACACAAAAACAGAAGCAAGGAAAACAUCCCUGUAUGUUCCACUUCACCCAGAGCAGCUGCACACAGCUGCCAGAGGCCAGAGAGGGUGGAGCUGGGCCUGGGAGACCAAUGAACUGAGAAGCAAAUCAGACUGGAGACCAAUUAGAUCCUCAGUUUCCUCUGCAUUCAGACUGCUAUGUCUCUACUGCUGAAGGGACAGGAAACACUGCUCUGCUCUCCAGGCUGUUCCCAGGUCUGUGGUUCUGGGGUUCUGUGGGACUUCCUGUUUGAAAUGCUCAUGGGGAUUUCCCAUAAUUCACGGCCCCCUCCAACGGACAGUGCCAACCUGCUGGACCAAACAGUUUGCUUCUGCUAAUUUUAUGGGACAUCUUUUCUUCAACCUUUGUUGUUAUGUCCAAUGGACCUUUUUUAUCUAUAAAUCAAUCCUCAGUAUUUGUAAUAGGAUGUUAUUUGGCAAAACUGAGCAUGUGGAAAACGUACACCGCGGUGACAUUUUAAUAGAAAAGCAUUUUUUUAAAUGCCGCAACUGUCUUUGGGCUUUUUCUACAGCUGAGUCUUUGAACUCUUUAAACUGACAUUGAAGUCAAUGCAAAAUUUUCACGCCUUCGUGUCUUUCCAUGUUUUGCAAAAGCGUUCACUCGUGUUUUCUUUUAAGAAGGUUGGGGAGACGGGGGAGUGUUUGGGGGGGGAGGGGGGGGGGGCGGGGGCUACGAGGGCUCUGUGCGCUGCAUCACGUCCCUGUGACCGACGGCGCUCCGGCGCGGGAUGGAAAAUGUGAAUAAGGCGGGGGAGGCUGCGGCGGAGAAGGCAGAUGAGUCUUCCUCAGGGGCUUGCUCGCUCGCUAGCUCGCUUGCUCGCCCGGCCUGCUUCUUGUAAAGUGUCAGGGACCUGGAGUCCUCCAGAUGUGUGUUGUGUUUACGCUGUCCAAAUCCCCCCAGAGAGGCCUGCAUUUGGCCGCGCGUCCCGCGCUCGCAGAGCUGGGGGAGACGGAGCCCUAAUUAUGGAAAGUUGGCAGGCGGGGGAGCGGGGAGAGAGAGAGAGAGCGCUGAGGUGGGGAGCAACGGAAAGAAUGAGAUUAAAGCCAAAGAAACGCAGCAAUAAAGUUUAUGAGACAAAAAGA